AAAUAAUAACUUUCUUCGAAAUAGGCAUCAGUUUUCAAAACAACUUCCAUCCAAGAAACACAAGUAUCGCAGAAUUUCUAAAAAUGAAGUCCAUAUUUAUUCCAUUGUUAUGUUUGUUGGGAACACCAUUCGUAGCCUCGACCACCUACACCAGAAAUUUGGUGCCGUUGGCAACUUUUCCAGUAGCUCGUUAUGCCGUUCCUGUGACUGUAACACGAGAAAUUAUCCCAGCUGCCUCUGUGCCAGUAACUAUUCCUGUAGUUCAAUAUACUGCUCCGACUGUGGUGCGCCAUUUAACUCCAGUUACCACUACCACAUUGCUUCGCCCGGCUAUUAUUUCAACUAGAACUGAUUUUCUACAAAAGGCAUAUUAAAAAAUGACAACAUAUGAGAGCGGAGCAUGUUCAUUCGAUGGAGCUAACAAUUCAAUUGACAUUUACUUUUUUAAAUAAAUAACGAAGCACUACAAAA
Musca domestica (house fly) is the source of this 471-nucleotide long non-coding RNA. RefSeq lists it as uncharacterized. The record is from RefSeq and is a predicted model, not a curated record. The transcript has 2 exons. NCBI's taxonomy places the organism in Eukaryota, Metazoa, Arthropoda, Insecta, Diptera, Muscidae.